RNAcentral lists this ribosomal RNA (274 nucleotides) under uncultured bacterium. Its description in RNAcentral is "partial 16S ribosomal RNA". It matches the Rfam family "Bacterial small subunit ribosomal RNA", at positions 523 to 796 of the family's 1533-position model. The record is from RNAcentral.
AUACGGAGGGUGCAAGCGUUACUCGGAAUCACUGGGCGUAAAGCGCGCGCAGGCGGUCUUUUAAGUUGGAUGUGAAAGCCUACGGCUCAACCGUAGAACUGCAUCCAAAACUGUCAAGCUAGAGUCUGGGAGGGGAAGAUGGAAUUAGUUGUGUAGGGGUAAAAUCCGUAGAGAUAACUAGGAAUACCAAAAGCGAAGGCGAUCUUCUGGAACAGUACUGACGCUGAGGCGCGAAAGCGUGGGGAGCAAACAGGAUUAGAAACCCCGGUAGUCC